GGCUCUGUGGCGCAAUGGAUAGCGCAUUGGACUUCUAGGCUGUGAGCUGAGCCAUUCAGAGGUUGUGGGUUCGAGUCCCACCAGAAUCG
Non-coding RNA from Danio rerio (zebrafish), 89 nucleotides. NCBI's taxonomy places the organism in Eukaryota, Metazoa, Chordata, Actinopteri, Cypriniformes, Danionidae. The record is from Rfam.